This 326-nucleotide long non-coding RNA is filed under the name Brachypodium distachyon (stiff brome). RNAcentral's name for it is "long non-coding RNA (BDIS_LNC004931)". The record is from RNAcentral. Lineage: Eukaryota; Viridiplantae; Streptophyta; Magnoliopsida; Poales; Poaceae.
UUUUCUUUGUUGUUUUCUCUUUCCUCUUAUACGUUUGGACCUCAUCGUGGCUGCUUCUGGCGUAGGCCCCGUCUUGUGUGGGUAAUUUUUACUUCUUUCUUGUCUGUAUCGUCCGUCUUGCCACCUCUUCUUCUUGCCUGGUCGUGGGAUCGGGAAAACCUUCAUAGUCUUGUUGUGAAGUUACUCCGGCGACCCCAACAAUGCUCCUUUUACCUCUCCUCACGACUACGCGGUUUUUCGCUAUCGGGUCUUCUAUGAAGAAGACUUGUUAGCAUUUGGAAGCAAACUGCCAUGGUUCAAGCAGUGCCGAGAUUCUUUUGACGUUC